Molecule: ribosomal RNA, 442 nt
Filed under: uncultured Bacteroidota bacterium
Lineage: Bacteria; Pseudomonadati; Bacteroidota
Description: bacterial SSU rRNA
Rfam family: Bacterial small subunit ribosomal RNA
Source: RNAcentral
GGGCCCGCACAAGCGGAGGAACAUGUGGUUUAAUUCGAUGAUACGCGAGGAACCUUACCCGGGCUUGAAAGUUAGCGACGGAUUCCGAAAGGAGUCUUCCCUUCGGGGCGCGAAACUAGGUGCUGCAUGGUUGUCGUCAGCUCGUGCCGUGAGGUGUCGGGUUAAGUCCCAUAACGAGCGCAACCCCUAUCGUUAGUUACCAGCGAGUCAUGUCGGGGACUCUAACGAGACUGCCUGUGUAAGCAGAGAGGAAGGUGGGGAUGACGUCAAAUCAGCACGGCCCUUACGUCCGGGGCGACACACGUGUUACAAUGGUCGGUACAGAGGGCCGCUACCCACGUGAUGGGAUGCCAAUCUCGAAAGCCGAUCUCAGUUCGGAUUGGAGGCUGAAACCCGCCUCCAUGAAGUUGGAUUCGCUAGUAAUCGCGCAUCAGCCAUGGCG